CCCCUAGACGUUCUGGGCUGCACGCGCGCUACAAUAAUACGCACAGCGAGUAUCACCGAGCUCGAAAGGGCAAGGUAAACAAUAGAAAAGGUACUGUAAUGGUUAUAGAUCCUUGUAAUUAUUGAUCUUCAACGAGGAAUUCCUAGUAAGUAUGUGUCAUCAUCACGCACUGAUUACGUCCCUGCCCUUUGUACACACCGCCCGUCGCUCCUACCGAUUGAGUGAGUCGAUGAAACUGCCGGAUGUGGACUAUUCAUAGUCUGCAGAAGAUAUUUGAAUCGUAGCGCUUAGAGGAAGGAGAAGUCGUAACA
This 311-nucleotide ribosomal RNA is filed under the name uncultured eukaryote. RNAcentral's name for it is "partial 18S ribosomal RNA". It matches the Rfam family "Eukaryotic small subunit ribosomal RNA", at positions 1470 to 1796 of the family's 1831-position model. The record is from RNAcentral.